RNAcentral lists this unclassified non-coding RNA (149 nucleotides) under uncultured Pleosporales. RNAcentral describes it as "sequence contains ITS2". The record is from RNAcentral. Lineage: Eukaryota; Fungi; Ascomycota; Dothideomycetes; Pleosporales.
AAACCCUCAAGCACUGCUUGGUGUUGGGCACCUGUCGCGCACUCACGCGCCGACUUGCCCCAAAUGUAUUGGCAGGCCUGCUUGCCGGCCCCAGCGCAGCAGUUCGCGCCCUGAGGCCCGCGUGCGGCAGCCACAACCCCCCUUUCUCA